AUGCACGCUAGCUACAGGCUUAACACAUGCCAGUCGAGGGGAAACGGCAUCGAAAGCUUGCUUUUGAUGGGCGUCGACCGGCGCACGGGUGAGUAACGCGUAUCCAACCUGCCCAUCACUUGGGAAUAACCUUGCGAAAGUAAGACUAGUGCCCAAUGACAUCCCACGAAGGCAUCCGAAUGGGAUUAAAGAUUUAUCGGUGAUGGAUGGGGAUGCGUCUGAUUAGCUUGUUGGCGGGGUGACGGCCCACCAAGGCAACGAUCAGUAGGGGUUCUGAGAGGAAGGUCCCCCACAUUGGAACUGAGACACGGUCCAAACUCCUACGGGAGGCAGCAGUGAGGAAUAUUGGUCAAUGGGCGAGAGCCUGAACCAGCCAAGUAGCGUGCAGGAUGACGGCCCUAUGGGUUGUAAACUGCUUUUAUAAGGGAAUAAAGUGGGUCACGUGUGACUUUUUGCAUGUACCUUAUGAAUAAGGACCGGCUAAUUCCGUG
This 491-nucleotide ribosomal RNA is filed under the name uncultured bacterium. Its description in RNAcentral is "partial 16S ribosomal RNA". It matches the Rfam family "Bacterial small subunit ribosomal RNA", at positions 29 to 507 of the family's 1533-position model. The record is from RNAcentral.